Molecule: non-coding RNA, 22 nt
Filed under: Rattus norvegicus (Norway rat)
Lineage: Eukaryota; Metazoa; Chordata; Mammalia; Rodentia; Muridae
Source: RNAcentral
ACGAAUUGUGGUUUUUCUCAGA